Molecule: unclassified non-coding RNA, 140 nt
Filed under: Oryza sativa (Asian cultivated rice)
Lineage: Eukaryota; Viridiplantae; Streptophyta; Magnoliopsida; Poales; Poaceae
Description: partial microRNA MIR440b-24-as precursor
Source: RNAcentral
CGGUACUUAAGGAGGUACCAUGAGGUACCAAAAAUUUAGUGAAAAAUUUGGUACCUCAUGGUACCUCAUAGUAACUAGGUAUUAAGAAGUACCAAAUUUACAAUAGAAAAAGUGGUACCUCAUGGUACCUCCUCAACGAC